This 253-nucleotide ribosomal RNA is filed under the name uncultured bacterium. Its description in RNAcentral is "partial 16S ribosomal RNA". It matches the Rfam family "Bacterial small subunit ribosomal RNA", at positions 524 to 776 of the family's 1533-position model. The record is from RNAcentral.
UACGGAGGGUGCAAGCGUUAUCCGGAUUUACUGGGUUUAAAGGGUGCGUAGGUGGGUCUGUAAGUCAGUGGUGAAAUCUCCGAGCUUAACUUGGAAACUGCCAUUGAUACUAUAGGUCUUGAAUUGUCUGGAGGUAAGCGGAAUAUGUCAUGUAGCGGUGAAAUGCUUAGAUAUGACAUAGAACACCCAUUGCGAAGGCAGCUUACUACGGAUUGAUUGACACUGAGGCACGAAAGCGUGGGGAUCAAACAGG